This 326-nucleotide ribosomal RNA is filed under the name uncultured eukaryote. RNAcentral describes it as "partial 18S ribosomal RNA". It matches the Rfam family "Eukaryotic small subunit ribosomal RNA", at positions 1470 to 1796 of the family's 1831-position model. The record is from RNAcentral.
CCCUUAGAUGUUCUGGGCCGCACGCGCGCUACACUGAUGCAUUCAACGAGCCUAGCCUUGACCGAGAGGUCCGGGUAAUCUUUGAAACUGCAUCGUGAUGGGGCUAGAUUAUUGCAAUUAUUAAUCUUCAACGAGGAAUGCCUAGUAAGCGUGAUUCAUCAAAUCGCGUUGAUUACGUCCCUGCCCUUUGUACACACCGCCCGUCGCUCCUACCGAUUGAGUGUGUUGGUGAGGAGUUUGGAUUGGCCUCGGAAGGUGGUUCGCCGCCGUCCGUAGCUGAGAAGUUCUCCAAACCGCCCCACUUAGAGGAAGGAGAAGUCGUAACA